RNAcentral lists this transfer-messenger RNA (370 nucleotides) under human gut metagenome. It matches the Rfam family "transfer-messenger RNA". From Rfam's summary of the family: Bacterial tmRNA, also known as 10Sa RNA or SsrA, is named for its dual tRNA and mRNA-like properties. Its role is to liberate the mRNA from a stalled ribosome. The record is from RNAcentral.
GGGUCUGAUUUGGUUUCGACAGGCUAAGGUUUGGUAUGAUAAGCAUGUGGAGUGGUUACCUUAUAACCAAAAUUAAAAAUAAAUAACAAUUAUAAUAAUAACAGAUCAUUUGCAUUCGCUGCUUAGUCCCAUAAUCGGACAAUGAUCCCUCAGCCUAGGAUUUGUCUAUUUGCUUAGUUACUGGGGUCAACCCAAAUAGAAUAAGCUUAAAUAAUGAUUGUAAACGAUAAGCUGACAAUUGAAACAAUCUCGUGAAGAAUUUGCUUGCUAAUGGAUAGGUUUUUCAUUAAAUCAUAGUAAUUAGAUAAACAUGUAGAAAGUUGUAUGGAAUCUAGUUUGGACACGGGUUCAAUUCCCGCCAGAUCCACCA